This 981-nucleotide long non-coding RNA is filed under the name Homo sapiens (human). RNAcentral's name for it is "HSALNT0183763". Lineage: Eukaryota; Metazoa; Chordata; Mammalia; Primates; Hominidae. The record is from RNAcentral.
UUUAGCUCCAGAUUGACUGCAAGAACAAACAAGCAGUCCUGAGAGGACCCACAGACCCUCUGAAGCAAGUGGACUUCUCCUGCAGGACCCAGGAGACACCCCAAAUACCCUGGGAGGCGGAAAGCCCCGGGCAGGUUUUCAAGCCGUAUCGCCCUCUGACUGGAAAAAGACUCAGGGCUCUUGCAGAGGGCACAGUGUGAAUGAGACUAGUCUUUCAGAUUCUGUGGGAGCUGGGUGACGCCUGUGACUGCUGGCUUUCCCCCACUUCCCAGACAACCUGCAUGACUCAGCAGAGGCAGCCAUAAUCCUCCUAAGUACACAACUCCAGUGACCUGGGAAUCUCACUCCCGUCCCCACAGCAGCCGCAGCAAGACCCACCCAAGGAGAGUCUGAGCUCAGACAUGCCUAGCCCUGCCCGCACCUGAUGGUCCUUCCCUACGCACCCUGGUAGCGGAAGACAAAGGGCAUACAAUCUUGGGAGUUCUAGGGCCCUGCCCACCGUUGGUCCCUCUCCACACUACUACAGCUGAUGCAUUCUGGAAAGCAGCAUCUUCUGGCAGGAGACCAGGCAGCACAAAAACAGAGCAUUAAACCACCAAAGCUAAGGACCCUCACGGAGUCCAUUGCACCCUCUGCCACCUCCACUGGAACAGGCGCUGGUAUCCACAGCUGAGAGGCCCAUAGAUGGUUCACAUUACAGGACUCUGUGCAGACAACCCCCAGUAUCAGCCUGGAGCCAGGUAGACUUGCUGGAUAGCUAGACCCAGAAGACAGACAACAAUCACUGCAGUUUGGCUCACAGGAAGCCACAUCCACGGGAAAAGGGGGAGAGCACUACAUCAAGGGAACACCCCAUGGGAUGAAAAAAUCUGAACAACAGCCUUCAGCCCUAGACCUUCCCUCUGACAGAGCCUACCCGAAUGAGAAGGAACCAGAAAACCAACCCUGGUAAUAUGACAAAACAAGGUUCUUCAACAUCCC